UUAGCUAAUUCUAGGGCUUAUCUACCUUCUUAAUUGUUCCAUCGAUCAAUUUUUCGUUUUGAUUUUUCAGUAACCAAAUAGAUUUUUUAGAAGAAAAUCUCAACUGUAUAUAUGUACUCGUUUUCUUUUAUUUAUGCGUUUGUUCUUGUCUGGUAUUAUUAAUUCAUCUACGGGGUAAAAUUUGGGUUUCGUGCUCUUUGUUUGGUUGUUAAGAAAUUGUAAGAAACAUGAAUGAAAAUUUUGAGAUGCUUUGCUGGGGUUUGUGCCACAAGAGCUGCAAUCAAUGAGUGUUUGUGUCGCAAGAGUUGGAAAAACAGGAAUUGGAGGAGGCUAGGUUCAUGAUCGAUGUGAAUCUAAUGGGGACAUUUCAUUUGAUUAAGGCUUCUUUGCCGAGGAUGAAGCAUCGGAAGAAGCGUGGACCAACGUUGAUGGACAUUAUAUCAUCGUAGGCCAGUCAGGUGGGCAUUUAUGGUUACACAGCUUACACGACUAGCAAGUUUAGCCUCAAGGGAUUGACAAAAGCUUUGCAACAGGAGGCCGUUGUAGACAACAUUUAUGUCUCACUUAUAUUUCCUCUAGAAACAGAAACUCCAGGGGUUGAAGCAAGGCACAUCAACAAAGGCAUUCUUAAAGGGUGUCGAAACAUGGAAGAAAUAAACCAUAAUGAAAAAGGAGGCUGCUAAGCGUUUAGGAACAAAUGGCAAUGGUACGGAGGAAGUAGAGUACCAGCCUCUUCCUAGUGGCCUAAGUAAUGGCACUCAAAAUGCCACCAAGAAAUUUGAAGAACUAGAAGUGAGUAUACUAUGAAAAUCUUGUUUUAAUUUCAAAGUUUUCAAGAAUUGAUUUAUGUAACCAUCUAAGGUCAGUAUUAUUGAAAAUGUUUAAACUGGAAGGAACUUGGGCUUCUUGUUUUCGAUUGGGUUGCUUUCCUCAAUUGCAGAUUGCAAAGGUUUCCUCAUUCCUGACCUUAUUUUGGUGGGCCUUUAUGGUUACACAGCUUAUACGACUAGCAAGUUUAGCCUCCGGGGAUUGGCAAAAGCUUUGCAACAGGAGGUCAUUGUAGACAAUAUUUAUGUCUCACUGAUAUUUCCUCUAGAAACAGAAACUCCAGGGUUGGAGCAAGUAGGCUCAACUGUUUACUAUAAUCUUAAGCUAAGGCAUCCUACACUUGAUAUGCCUAUCAUUUACUAUGAUUUGGCGCUGCUUUUCCAACCAAUGCUCAUGAUGGGCAUUAGCAUCGGGGUUGUUUUUAAUGUUUCAUUUGCUGACUGGAUGGUUACAAUUUUGCUAAUUGUUCUCUUCUUAGGUAAUUAGCUGAAUUUCAAUUCUUCUAUGUAUAUCUGAGACUCCAAGAGUGCCCUUGACUCAUUAUGAUAGUUUGCAGGCUCAUCAACAAAGGCAUUCUUAAAGGGUGUUGAAACAUAGAAGAAAGAAACCAUAAUGAAAAAGGAGGCUGCUAAGCGUUUAGGAACAAAUGGCAAUGGUAUGAAGGAAGUAGAGUACAAGCCUCUUCCUAGUGGCCUAAGUAAUGGCACUCAAAAUGCCACCAAGAAAUUUGAAGAACUAGAGGUCAGUAUUAUUGAAAAUGUUUAAACUGGAAGGAACUUGGGCUUCUUGUUCUCGAUUGGGUUGCUUUCCUCACAUUGCAGAUUGCAAAGGUUUCCUCAUUCCUGACUUUAUUUUGGAAGGAUCUCAAUCAACAAAAUAACAUAUUCUUAUCCUGAAGGACAUCAUUUUCCAAAACAACAAAUGCAGCCAGAAUCCAUUAGUUUCUAAGGAAGAUUAAACUCACAAGCAAAAGAAAAAGCUUCAAUCUACUGUCUUGUCUUCUACAACACACAAGUACCUUAAUAAACCAGGAACCACCCAUCAUUUUCGGAAGUCAUUGACCAUGCCAUCUUCCUCAACAUCAACAACAUUAGGGAAGCAGAGAACAAUGGACAGGAAAUUGCAAAGACAAUGUAGCUUCUCAACUUCAUGGCAUAGAAACUAUUCUAGAGGUUGGUACUUGUAAAAGCAAAAGGGCUAGGCAAGAGGUUCACAUCAUCAGAGUUGAAGUUUGCAAUUACUAGAGAUUUCAGCCUUGAAAUGGUGAUAGGAGAAGAUUUUGGAUCAACAAUGGUAUAUAAUGGAGCACAAGAAGUUAUAGUUUUCCUUUUACCUUCAAA
Vitis riparia (riverbank grape) is the source of this 2168-nucleotide RNA transcript. RefSeq lists it as uncharacterized. The transcript is spliced from 12 exons. The record is from RefSeq and is a predicted model, not a curated record. Lineage: Eukaryota; Viridiplantae; Streptophyta; Magnoliopsida; Vitales; Vitaceae.